GACGAACGCUGGCGGCGUGCUUAACACAUGCAAGUCGAACGGAAAGGCCCUGCUUUUGUGGGGUGCUCGAGUGGCGAACGGGUGAGUAACACGUGAGUAACCUGCCCUUGACUUUGGGAUAACUUCAGGAAACUGGGGCUAAUACCGGAUAGGAGCUCCUGCUGCAUGGUGGGGGUUGGAAAGUUUCGGCGGUUGGGGAUGGACUCGCGGCUUAUCCGCUUGUUGGUGGGGUAGUGGCUUACCAAGGCUUUGACGGGUAGCCGGCCUGAGAGGGUGACCGGCCACAUGGGGACUGAGAUACGGCCCAGACUCCUACGGGAGGCAGCAGUGGGGAAUAUUGCACAAUGGGCGGAAGCCUGAUGCAGCAACGCCGCGUGCGGGAUGACGGCCUUCGGGUUGUAAACCGCUUUCGCCUGUGACGAAGCGUGAGUGACGGUAAUGGGUAAAGAAGCACCGGCUAACUACGUG
Molecule: ribosomal RNA, 468 nt
Filed under: uncultured bacterium
Lineage: Bacteria
Description: partial 16S ribosomal RNA
Rfam family: Bacterial small subunit ribosomal RNA
Source: RNAcentral